UUCUCUUUCUCUUUCUCAUUAAUAAAAAACCCUAAUUCUUCAUUUCCUUUGAUCAUCGCCCCUUCUCUUUAUCAUCGAGUUUCUUUUGUCUUCCCCCUUCAUCAUCCUCUGCAAACCCUUUCUUCGAUCAUCGCCCCUUUUCUUUAUCAUCGAGUUUCUUUUGUCUUCCCCCUUCAUCAUCCUCUGUAAACCCUAAAGGAAUCUACACCAGUUCUUCGAGGAUUACUGAUUCAAUCCGAUGGAAAUGGAUCUUACGAAUAUCGUUGUUAUUCUACAAGCAACAGAGUCCCAAUCAUGCUGAACGAAAACCCGCUGAAGAUAGCCUCAAUCAGAGUUUAUUGGAACUAGCAACUCCACAAAAACACUGCUGCAAAGCCAAAACUAUAAUGUUUGUUUGGGACAUGUGAUGGUGGGCGACAACUCGAUUUAAAGUGGCAAGAGGGAAGAGGCGAUCUACAGAUGGCUUCUCUUAAUUCGUUUCAGUAAAGAUGGGACCCGGGACUACUGGGAAUGUGUGUUGGGGAGAAGCGUAAGUUGAAGAUUUCUGCAAGUAUGGGUUAUGGGAAUCAGGGUUCACCUCCUACUAUCGCAGGUGGACAAAAUCAUUCGGGCUAAAAUCCGCUAUCGUAAAGCAGUGAUGAUGAUGGGGGCGGUGUAAGUAGCAGGAGUAUCUAUGGCGGUCUUGGUGGUGACGAGUAGGUGGUGGAGAUAAUGGUCAUGGGUGUUGCUGGCCCAUUAUGACCUUUAAGUCGAUGAGUUUUAUAAUAGCUACCCGUUUUGACCCGUUGUCUAAUUUGAAGUCACCCAAAUGAACCCAUAUAUUAUUUAUAUUUGACCCGAAUGGUUUCUUGAAGUGAACCCAGAUGGGAAAGUUCCUUUGGCCAAAUUUGAUGAGAAUUGGAUAUGUGAUUGUGAUGCUAUUGUGGGUCUUAUUGAAGAUAAGUACCCUGACCCUUCACUUGCCACUUCCCCUGAACUUGCAUCUGUUUCAUGUUUUCUCUACCCAGUUGGCAUGCAAAGCGCAUGGCCUCAUUGUGUCCCUUUAUUUGACACUCUAGCUAACAUAUGUUAUGGAUCCACGGUACAUUUUAAUACCUAUAUAAGGUAGCAAAGUGAAGUGGUGACACAUAAGCAUGAGACGAAGUGGCUCUGAAUCAGCUUCAACUUUUUUGGUGGAAUCUAAUUAAGGAGGAGCCGGUUGACAAUCUCUUCGUGUCUUGCCACUUCGCCUUAAGGUGAUUGGGAUCGGGUUGCAAGCUGGUGCUGUCUAACUGGGUUGUAUAUAUUUGAAAGCAAAGAUUUGGUCGAAUAUCAUUGCCAUGCGAGUGGGUCGACGAAAUGAAAAAAAUGGUGUACACUAUAAUGCAGACUGGAAUGUGGAGUAUAUCACGUUGUCGAAACAACUUAGCAUUCAACCAGAAGAAUCCAAAUCUGGGGAGUGUUGUAGAGGAUCUAAAUUGUUGUGAAUUUGAUUAUUUGUUUAUAUUUUUUGUAUCUGGGGUGAGGGAUAAUAUGUUGUCUCAACUUUUAUUCAUAUAAAUUUGAAGUCAUUUGCGUGGCUUUUCUCAAUGAGGGGAGUUCCAUACUACCGCCCACUAAUUUUGAUGGUUUUAUGACCCAUUAUUACUUGAUAUAUGCACAUGGCAUAUUAUUUUAUGUAUCUCAUUAUUUUCUUUUGUUGAAUUUGGUCUU
RNAcentral lists this long non-coding RNA (1692 nucleotides) under Helianthus annuus (common sunflower). Its description in RNAcentral is "hypothetical non coding rna". Lineage: Eukaryota; Viridiplantae; Streptophyta; Magnoliopsida; Asterales; Asteraceae. The record is from RNAcentral.